This 85-nucleotide microRNA precursor is filed under the name Choloepus hoffmanni (Hoffmann's two-fingered sloth). RNAcentral describes it as "miRNA (ENSCHOG00000016143.1)". Lineage: Eukaryota; Metazoa; Chordata; Mammalia; Pilosa; Megalonychidae. The record is from RNAcentral.
UCACUAGGAUAUCUCGUUAAAAUGCAGUUUCAGAUUCAAUAGGUCUGAGAUUCUGCAUUUCUAACAAGUGCCCAGGUGAUGCCAA